UACGGAGGGUGCAAGCGUUAUCCGGAUUCACUGGGUUUAAAGGGUGCGUAGGAGGGCAGGUAAGUCCGUGGUGAAAUCCUAGAGCUUAACUCUAGAACUGCCGUGGAUACUACCGGUCUUGAAUUCUGUGGAGGUGAGCGGAAUAUGUCAUGUAGCGGUGAAAUGCUUAGAUAUGACAUAGAACACCAAUUGCGAAGGCAGCUCACUACGCAGCGAUUGACUCUGAGGCACGAAAGCGUGGGGAUCAAACAGG
This 253-nucleotide ribosomal RNA is filed under the name uncultured bacterium. Its description in RNAcentral is "partial 16S ribosomal RNA". It matches the Rfam family "Bacterial small subunit ribosomal RNA", at positions 524 to 776 of the family's 1533-position model. The record is from RNAcentral.